CUCUCCAGGAAGUGACGUCACGCAAAGAGCUUUUUCUCCCUCCUCCUCAGCCCCCUACCCCCCGGAGGCACUAAUUCGAAUUGUGCGUGCGGCUAGGGCUCUUUGGCAGCUGGGUUGGACCUAGUGUUGUGAUGAGGAAAUUGAGUGUUCACAUUACUAUGUCUUUUCUACAAAUUACACCAAAAUGAACAUUUGUUAUGCUCAUGGAUUUGUGGAUCAGGGAUUCAAAUGGGGAUGGCUUAUCUCCACUUCACAAUGUCUGAGGCCUCAGGUGGAGCACUUGAAGGCUGCGUCUGUCAUCACCUGAAGACUCAUCUGCUCACAUGUCCAGGCAUUGAUGCUGGUGGAUGGGCUUCAUUCUAACCUAUCGAUUUUUAUCGUCAAUGAAAUGUAAGUGCCAUCCGACACCGUAUUCCACCGGAGCUGAUCAGGUUUGGCCAGAUCUCUGAGGAGAGAUUCUACCUAUUCCCUGUAUACAAUGAACUGAGGAAAACUACUGACAUACGACUUACAAAGGAGAUAGCUUGAGACUGGUAUUGGAAACUUUGUCCCUCACCCAUCAAAAGAAAUAAAGCACCUCUCCCCCAGAAAAGUAGAAAUAAAUCGCUGCAGUCCGUUUUCAAUUUCCUGGAGGAUUUAGAAAUACUUGACACCAGAUACUUAAAUCUCAAAAUACUGCACAUCGAGCUCAGCACUGCCUGUAGGAAGGAGGUUCUGAGGCAGCUGUCUAAAGCUUCAGUUACACAAAGUCAAAGGCAGUGGCGAAACAGGUGCUCCUACUCCUGACAGAUUAUCUGAACGUCAGUAGUCAUCGACAUCUACGUCACCACCCCUACAUCAUUCCCCUCACUUCAUCUGAUCACACAGGCAUUUUAUCGUGUCACAUCAUCACAAGAAGGGAAAACUAACAUUCGAAAACAAACCUGACAACAUGGCAAAAGUGAAGCAGAAGAAGCACACCUGCGAGCUCACCUGAGGCAGGGCAGACCUCCGUAGGUUACUGACAAGCCUAAGAGCCCCGGAUGCAGCUGUACCGCCCUCAGGCGGCGGCGACUGGACCUCGCCUGGCGGCCGGCGCGGCGCUCCCUACGAAAGCGCCUGCGCAAAGCCAAGAAGUGGCGGCAGCUGAGGGGCAAGCGCCCCGUGGUGAGGAGGCAGCUGAGGGACGUGUUCCCCCUGCUUAGUUUGGUGGACAACCUGGUGGGCGUCUGUAAGGGACCUUCAGCAUUAUGGGAAUCAUGUCUGAGAUUAUCGGCCACAACCAGGGUGAGUUCUCCAUCAACCCUGGAAGCAAGACGCAUCCGUGCACCCACUCCCGCUUCAUCCUCCUCAAGUGGCAUGAAAGGUACAGACUUUUUUUUUUUUAUGUUUUUUACAAAUAUUUUGUUUAAUGAAGCUGAUACCGUGUCACAUCCCACGCCAAAAAGUGAAAAGAAAAUAUAAAAAGUGCAGUGCUCUGUUGUAUACACUUCUGCGUGAAUAACUUUAUUAACUGCUAGUGACACUUAGGACGUUUUUGGGAUCUUAUGGGAUUUUUUAAAAAUCUUAAAAUGCUUUCUCUUCAGUGAAGCCGCCUUUGGAUUUAGUCGUUACUGUCAGUGUGUGUGUUAUCUCGACUCCAAGUUGAUAUUCCGUCUCUUUUGGUCCAGACCCUCAGAUUUUUUAAAUUUGAGAAUUAGGCAACUCAAGGAUUUUCUCUGUCACAUGUUACUAGUGUAUUUUGGGGAGAAACUUAAUUGUAUAAAAUUGAUAUCUAUUAGGAGGAAAAUGAAAAUUAAGGCAACGAUGAGAGGCUGCGUUUCCAAAGAGUAGGCAAACCAAUUGAGUUGGGCCUCAACAUUCUGCAGGUUGUUUUCUCUUUUACCUCCUAUGAACUAGGGGAUGUUUGCUUAUUCUCAGUAGGAGAGGAGACAAAAUUGGUAAAGAGAAGCUCCUACAAGGCAAAGAAGUCAGCAUUGCUCUAAAUGAUUUUUCAGAUCUGAAGAGACAAAAAAUACAGUUUGGUUCUGCCACAUCACCUGGAUUUGAAG
This is a long non-coding RNA of Herpailurus yagouaroundi (jaguarundi), 2030 nucleotides long. RefSeq lists it as uncharacterized. The transcript has 7 exons. NCBI's taxonomy places the organism in Eukaryota, Metazoa, Chordata, Mammalia, Carnivora, Felidae. The record is from RefSeq and is a predicted model, not a curated record.